AGGUUUAUUCUGAGACUGAACAACAGGUGCAUGAUUUGGUCAGCUGUGCAGCAGGAAAUGGGUCAAAGGAGGUUUUUUCUGAGACUGAACAACAGGUGCAUGCUUUGGUCAGCUGUGCAGCAGGAGAUGGGUCAAAGGAGAUCUCAACAACGUCUGAUUCUCAGCUGACAUGUCAUGACAACACUCAACAGGU
This is a long non-coding RNA of Danio aesculapii, 193 nucleotides long. RefSeq lists it as uncharacterized. Lineage: Eukaryota; Metazoa; Chordata; Actinopteri; Cypriniformes; Danionidae. The transcript is spliced from 3 exons. The record is from RefSeq and is a predicted model, not a curated record.